Molecule: ribosomal RNA, 242 nt
Filed under: uncultured Staphylococcus sp.
Lineage: Bacteria; Bacillati; Bacillota; Bacilli; Caryophanales; Staphylococcaceae
Description: partial 16S ribosomal RNA
Rfam family: Bacterial small subunit ribosomal RNA
Source: RNAcentral
UAACCUACCUAAUAAGACGUGGGAUAACGUUACGGGAAACCGGAGCUAAUACGAUAAUAUUCGAACCGCAUGGUUCGAUAGUAGAAAGAUGGUUUUGCUAUCACUUAUAGAUGGACCCGCGCCGUAUUAGCUAGUUGGUAAGGUAACGGCUUACCAAGGCGACGAUACGUAGCCGACCUGAGAGGGUGAUCGGCCACACUGGAACUGAGACACGGUCCAGACUCCUACGGGAGGCAGCAGCC